GCAGAUGUGGAUCCAAAGUGUUUUCCACAUGAAUGUUCCUAUGUUGCUCCUCCUCCCAAAUGUGUUCGCACAUUGGUCCCGGUCUCUUAACUUUUGCAAAUAUUCAAAUGCCAGAAAACCUCCAAUAUGAGUGUUCAUAGGAGAAGAAAAAAAGAUCAAAGUACUUUGAGUGAAAAUUACACUGAGGUUUACAUGCAAUGCAACAAUAAGACAGAAGAACUAUUUUGAUAUAUGUAUUGUAUUACUCAACGGAACCAUUAGCAUGAAUUUUCAGAAGUAGCAUUCUCAGGUCACAGUUGUUUAACACUGAUCUGGAUCAGGAAGUCAAGGUAGGGACUGAGCACAUGUGACUUGUAUGAAGUUUGGCACUGAUGCUUCCUUUUUCUGCUGCAAUGCUGAUUGUUCAUUCUUCUCACAGAAGUAAACAGUCUUGGGUGAUUCUGGGCUGUUUCCAGUUAGCUGGCCUCUUAAAACAGAGUUUGAUCUUCCCAAGACAUGGAAAUCAAAAAACUUUGGGAAUUCCAGAUUCUGUUUAGUAAGAACACAAAAAUCCACCAGCUGUGCACUGCUGAUUUAUAGCAGCCACUUUGAGCGACCUUUACCUAAACAAACUGCAGAAAUCCUGCAAGAGCAGGGCACGAAUGUUUCCUGCAGCCUGGUGUGUCUGCGUAGCCGGUAGGUGGCAGUGGAUCAAUCACUUGAUCACCAAAGAUUGGCUUGUACUCCAAAAUUAGUUUGGAAAUGAUGGGGGGUUGCAUUUCUUAGGGGUGUGUAAAUGUAGAUUUUCUUAUAAGCUGAACAUUAGGUUUGUUCAGAGGAAAAAGUACUGCAUGAUUUCCAUAUGAAAGACUACAUCAGAGAUAAAUAAUCCCUUCCGAAUCAAGAAACAUUUUGUGCCUGAAAAUAUAUGCUAUUCUCUGACUCCUAAUCUGUAAACAAGAAAUGAAAGAUACCAGUAAAUGACCUUCAGUAUUUUGAAGAAAGUUUUUGCUGAUGCCUGUUGUCGAAGGGUUGUCAUUCCUGUGUCCAGAUCUGGUCUUGCAGACACUGAAUGCAUGUGCCUGUAUACAUGAUAACAUGUGCAAUGCAGCCCUAUGGGUAAUGUUAGAGGCACUGUGAACUGGUGCCUAUGGAUCCUAUAAUGGGGCUUAGGAUCCUUAUUGUCCACAUUCUGGUGGUGGCAAUUGGUUAGCAUGAGAUGAUUUGUCUGGCCCCUGUCAUCUAUCCCAAUUAUCUUCUCUGGGGUUUUCCAUUUCAGAAACACAAGGCAGCAGCUACUCGCCACCCUAACCUGAAGCAUUUGCUGUUCAGUAUGCUGGUGAUGGUUCAUUUCCGUCUUCUCUUUCCCAGGUGAGAAGCCUGCCUGCCUCAGGAACUUCUUGCUCUCUCAUCCAAGUCACAGAGGUACUCCUGCUGUAUACCUGAGAUAGGUGACUUUCCACCUCAGAACAUCUCCGAUGUUUUCAUGCCCCUAGGUGCCCAUGAUAAGAGCCAAAGUGAUCUCCCAGCACCGCUGAGUGACUCAUUGGAAGAACUGGAAAGGGCCUGGAUGUUGUGACUUCUGCACUAGCUCCUCAAAUCUCUGUUCAGCUCCUUUCUAAAUGAGCUUUGGAGAUCCACCCACCUAAAGAAGUAUCAUCAGGAAUCAUCAUUUCUUGAUGGGCUGUUGACUUUGUGGAUGAAGGAAGGAUGAACUUUUUGAUACAGAGACACCACUGAACCCAGUGUUCAAAACUGAAUUAAAAUGAAAAGGUCUCGAGUGCUUUCUGUGUUAAGUUAAAUUGUCCAGUUGACUCCACGCUUAUGCACUGAUUGAUGUUUGAUGACGGGACUGACUGACCUUAUUUGCCUGUUCAUACGAUACCUUGCCCAUUGCUGGUUAGUGAGAGUCUCUUCCAUCCCUAAGGGCAAUGGCUGACAUAUAAACAGAAUCACAGUGGUGCCCAGUGACAGGACAAGAGGGAACGGGCACAAAGUGAAAUACAGGAAAUUCUAUUUAAACUUAAGAAAACACUUUUUACUGUGCAGGUGGUUGAACAUGGAACAAGUCGCUCACAGAGGCUGUGGAGUCCCCAUCCUUGGAGAUAUUCAAAAGCCGGCUGGACACAAUCCUGUGCAACCUGCUCUAGUUGACCUGGCUUGAGCAGGGGGGGUUGGACCAAUGAUCUCCAGAGGUGCCUUCCAUCCUCAACUGUUCUGUGAUUCUGCCAACAUACAUCAGAGUGUAAAUACAUAUACAUAUAUAGGAGUGAGACUUGUAUAUUCCAUAUGCAACACUGUAAAAAGAUCGACCUGUUUAAACUUGGAAUAAUCACAUAUACAUAAGAAAUGAAGAUUAAUGUGCAACUGUAGAGUGGAUGAGAGUACCUCUAAAAGAUUGACCAAGAUGAUCUGUGUGAACUAAAUGCUAAGUUAAAUUUGGGCUCAAAGUCCAGAGAGUAUGUCUGAAGCUACAACGUUCUUGGCUUUAUAUGCAUUUUUAAUACAAAGUGACUGAAAUUUUGCAAGACCAGCUGAUUCAUGUGUCUUGGAUGUUUUCUUCCACCUGUUUUUGCAAGGUUCUCCCAGAGAAAAUCUAUUGUCUUCCAGUUUUAGGGACAUAUGCUUUAGCCCCUGUUGUGGGGGUUAGUUUGUUUUUUAUCCCAAUUUGGAUUAUUUGCCAGUGGUUCAAAUUUUAUUUACUGCUUUGUAUCUAACCUUUUUGAUGGAACACGUUCCUUUGGUGUGCGGCAGGAACGAAUAACUGGAAACUGAAAUCAAUGAAUGGCUCCUUAUGGUAAGUAUAGAAGCAUAUUCAAUUAUUUGCAUCUUAACAUUUUUCAGACUUGUUCCUUUGGGAUAUUUCUAGAAAACAGUAUAUCAACUUUGGUUUAAGUUCAUUAGCUGGGUGUGUUUAUUAAAAUGAGCGCUGUUCCAUCUUCCUGUGUUUUCAACAAAGAUAUCACAGUUGAUUUGGUUUUGUCUUCAAGAAAAUCAAAACUUUUCUACUGAAAUCUUAAAUUUCUCUAGCACCGGACCAAC
Dromaius novaehollandiae (emu) is the source of this 3021-nucleotide long non-coding RNA. RefSeq lists it as uncharacterized. The transcript is spliced from 4 exons. Lineage: Eukaryota; Metazoa; Chordata; Aves; Casuariiformes; Dromaiidae. The record is from RefSeq and is a predicted model, not a curated record.